This is a non-coding RNA of Triticum urartu, 344 nucleotides long. The record is from RefSeq and is a predicted model, not a curated record. NCBI's taxonomy places the organism in Eukaryota, Viridiplantae, Streptophyta, Magnoliopsida, Poales, Poaceae.
GGCGGUGGCUCCCUCUGGCGGCUCCCUCCAUGGCAUGACGGCGGUGCACUGCAUCGGCUAAAGCACCACCAUGGUUGACAAAAAUGCUCUGCAUCUUGAGAAGCAAAUAUCUUAAAACUUUGACUUGGAUCUCGACGGCGACGGCAUCCAACGAACACAAGGUCGCUCCCAACCAACAAGUUUUUUUCUUCCAAGUUAAUAAUGUGGAUUGUGAUGUUUAUCUGUGCACUGAUUUUCAGAGUGGAUGGCCGUACCAUUUAAUUUUGAUUACUAGCACUAGUAGUUGUAUUCAGUGUGAGCUGGAAGACUAACUGAUUCAGUUUUCGAAGCCAUCUUUGCUGUUC